This is a non-coding RNA of Rattus norvegicus (Norway rat), 9162 nucleotides long. The record is from RefSeq and is a predicted model, not a curated record. Lineage: Eukaryota; Metazoa; Chordata; Mammalia; Rodentia; Muridae.
CGCUCUGCAGCCUCAGGAGUGCCCACCUGACCAGGCGGUUGGGUCUCUCUCUCACCGGGUCUGGGAGCAGAGAGCUGCUGCGGGCCGAGAUCCGCGGUUGUGGGACUUCCGGUAAACACAGAACGUGCCCGGUUCUAGAGAAAUUCUGCUUCCGUGUGUCCCAAGCUCACCAGGCAGCUUUCUUGCAGCAGAAAAUUUGGUCUUACCUGUGGUCCCGAGGCUCAAGUUCGCUCGUGGGGUGCUGCCCAGGGGCUCUCUGCAGCGGCAGCAACCAGGAAGACCUGUGCCGCCCCUUCCGGGAGCUUCAGUGCACCAGGGUUCCAGAUGGUCUUUGGCUUUUUCCUCUGGCGUCCGAGAUGUGUGUGCAGGGAGCAGUCUCUUCUGGUUUCCCAGGCUUGUCUGCCUCUCUGAAGGUUUAGCUCUCCCUCCCACGGGAUUUGGGUGCAGAGAACUGUUUAUCCGGUCUGUUUCCUUCAGGGUCCGGCGGUGUCUCUGGCCAAGAUGAGGUCUUCUUUACCACCGAGGAAAGACAGAAUCCUACUAGAGGCCAGAAAGAAUGUUCCAGACAUAGAUGGAAGACCCUCACUCCUGACUGUUGCUCCAGGUCUACCACCAGGCUCCAAGGGUGGGUCUCUGAGGGGCUAGAAAAUGCCCCACCAAUCUGGCUAAGGUAAGAAAAAGAUAUAAAGAGAAAGUUACAGAAAUUUGAAGGGUUAAGCUAAGUUGCUGAGAGUUAGUGUAAGUUGCAGAGAAAGUAAAGUUGAAGUGUGGUUACAUAAGUGGACAGCAUCUAAUAGCUGUAGAGGAAGAUGCAGAAGAUAUGAGAGAGACUGAGGAAGAGAAAGAGGAAAGAAGGUAAAAAGCAGGAAGCUAGGGAAGAAAAGAGACAAAAAGAAGAAGAAGCUAGAGAGCUAAAGAGGGAUAAAAGACAGGAGAGGAACAUAUACUGGCCACAGUAGUUAGAGAACCUAGGAAGACAGUACCUGGCAACAGAAGAGAAUUCCUGGCUAAAGAUCAGUGUGCCUAUUGCAAGGAAAAAGGACACUAGGUCAGGGACUGCCCCAGGAAGAACAAGAGGGGCCUCUCCAGCAGCCCCGAAGGCAAGCCUCUUGGUCGUAGACUGCUGGCUAUGCGCAAAGAUAGAAGGGAAGCCUGCCCAGUUGUUUUGUGAAUACAGGGACCCAACACUCUGUGCUCCUACACCCAAAUGGGCUAGUGUCCAGCAAAAGACCUUGAGUACAGGGGACUACCGGCAACAAAUGUUACUCAUGGACUACCCGAAGAAUGGUGGACCUUGGCAUGGGCCAGGUAUCCCACUUGUUCCUUGUGAUCCCAGACUGCCCCUACGAGUCUGAACCCUGCAACCCUGCUCCCGGACCCCAACCUAGACCCCCCUUCAUGACUGUCAGCAGGUGCUCACUAAAGCACAGGGGUGGCAUAAAGAUCUGACUGACCAGCCACCAGAGGGGAUAGAUGCCAUCUGGUUCAUAGAUGGGAGCAGCUUCUUAGAGAAGGAAAAAGAUGGGCUGGGGCAACAGUGGUACAUAAAAACAGAGUCAUAUGGGCUCAGGCCCUACCAGAAGGCACCUCUACUCAGAGGGUAGAGCUCACUCCCCUCACCAAAGCCCUUGAGCCGAGAAGGAGACUUAACAUCUAUGUGGACAGCAGGUAUACCUUUGCUACAGCCCAUCAGCAGAGGGACCUUCUGACAUCUGAGGGCAAGAAAAAAAGAGAUUCUGGCUCUGUUAAGGGCCCGCCAUGACCCAGCCAGGCCGAAAAACAGACUCUGGUACACCUCAAUGGGAAAGAAGAUCCUGCUACAAAAACAGGCAGAGGCCACGAUAAAACAAAUGCAUCAAUGGACUCACUUAGGGGUAAGCAAACUCAUCCAGACGUUUUCAAAAACUAAAUAUUAUGUCGCAGGUCUCAAGUAUCUCGUGGAACAGAUAGUGCACUGAUGUAUACCAUGCCAAAAGGUAACUGUUUUCAGGAAAGUUGACUCUGGUAGGAGGCUCUGUGGGGAACAGCCUGGAUCCUACUGAGAGGUGGACUUCACAGAGAUAAAACCAGGAAAAUAUGAUUUUAAAUGUCUCCUAGUGUUUAUAGAUAUCUUUUCAGGAAUAGGUAGAAGCUUUCCCCACCAAGCAAGAGACGGCCUCAAUAGUCAUCAAGAAGAUACUAGAAGAAAUCUUCUCCCUGUUUGGAGUGCCCAAGGUAAUUGGGUCAGACAAUGGCCCUGCCUUCAUUGUCAAGGUAAGCCAGGGUGUGGCCAGGUAUUUAGAGGUCAAUUAAAAAUUAUAUUACAUCUAAAGACCUCAAAGUUCAGGACAGAUAGAGAGAAUAAAUAAAAUUUUAAAAGAGACCCUGACCAAAUUGACCAUGGAGACUGGCGCAAACUGGGUGGCACUCCUUCCCUCUUGCUCUCUUCAGAGCAAGAAAUGCCCCUUCCAGAUUCAGCCUUACCCACAUCCCCGAAGAGACUACAGAGUUCAGGGCAGGUAAAAAAGAUAACUAGAACUCUAAAAGAGACCUUGACAAAAUUGGCCUUAGAGACCGGCGGGGGAGACUGGACUGUCCUCCUUCCUUUUGCUCUGUUCCGAGUACGGAACACUCCUGACCCUUUUGGCCUAACACCUUAUGAGAUUAUGUAUGGGAGCCCCCCCACUCCUUGAAUCGGGUGGGGGCCCCCUACCCUGAGGUUUUUCCUAAAACCCUGUUUGCUCAUUUAAAGGCUUUAGAAACAGUCCAAAGUGGAAUUUGGAGCCAAGUGAAGGACACCUACAAGAUGGGAAGUCCAGGGCGCCUCACCAGUUCCCAGCAGGAGAUGCAGUCCUGGUCCGGCGACACAAGGCUGAGAAUUUAGAACCCCACCAGAAAGGACACUAUCUAGUACUGUUAAUCACUCCUGUUGUUGUAAAGGUAGAUGGGAUUGCUGCAUGGGUCCACGCCUCCCAUUUGAAGACAGUACUAGAUGUUCUCAGAAAUGAAUGGAAAUUAGAAAAGACUGCUAAUCCUCUUAAGCUUCGUCUCUGUUGUAAGCACUUAUAAUCCCCAUAUCCCCCAGAAACUGAUUUGGCAAGGUUCCUCCCAGGCCGGGGAGGUAAUAUGGUCCAUCUCCAAGGUGAGCCCAACAUACACAUGGUGGCCCACUCUCACCCCUGACUUUUGUAAGUUGGUAGCUGGGCUGGACACCUGAGACAUUCCUGACAGAUCCUCAGAGUAUGCCCCUAGAAGUCCCAAAGAGAUUUUCACCUGGGGGCAAGUUUGGAUGGGGAAGUCCAGAAACAAGGUGCCAAUUGGGGAGACUGAGGUUUUACAUUUGCCCCCAAGAUGUCUGAGACCAGGCUACCAUCUAGCGUUGUGGGGGCUUAGAAAGUUUACACUAUUCUGCUUGGGGAUGUGAGACUAAUUUCCACGCUCCUAGGACCCUUAGUUAUUCUCUUGUUACUUUUGACAUUUGGACCCUGUAUUUUUAAUAAGUUAACAGCCUUUAUUAGAGAAAGAGUUAGUGCAAUGCAGAUUUUAAUGCUUCACCCACAAUAUCAUGCCUCAGAAGACCUUAGGAAAAAUUGAAGAAGGCCCUGAGUUCUAAGAUUAGAACUAGUCACAAGCAGAAGUAGGGAAUGAAAGAAUAAAGAUUUUAAACUAUCCCCCACUGACCCUGCUAUGAGGACAAGUGCACCUCACAGCAAAGAAUAAUAUAACAUGUUUUGGGGAUGUAGCCUGACUAUAGCCAUCACAAACCAUCUGGCCUUGAUAAAGCCUGACUCAACAGUCCUGAGAAAAACGAGAAUUAGGGUCAGCUUGCCCCAGAAGGAGGGUGGCCUAGAGUUGAGCUGAGCCCAAGUUACAAACCAAUGAAAUUGCUUUGUGUGACUGUUGCCAACUACCUAUGUAAUUUUCCCUAUAAAUCCCUUCCCCAAAUUGGGCUCAGGGUCAACUCCUCUGUCUCCUGUGUGAGAUACGUGUCGUCCCCAGAGCUCUGGUUCCACAAAUACACGUCUUGUUUAUUACAUCAAGACUGGUUUCCUGUGAGUUCUUGGGGGUUGUGUCAUCUCGAGAUUUGAGUGGGGGUCUUCCCCACCCUGGUGGUCUUUCACUUCCUCCUCCUCCUCCUCCUCUUCCUCCUCUUGCUCCUCCUCUUCUUUUAGUUUCUUUUACACCUUUUUUGAGGGAGGGGAGAUGUCAUUGUGCCCAUGACAUCAUCAGGUCAAAGGACAACUCGUGGGAGUGGACUCUCUCCUUACACCAUGUGGGUCCCAGGAAUUGAACUCAGGUUGCAAAGCUUGCUGGAUAGUGCCUUUGCCCACUAAGCCAUCUCUCCAGCCAUUCUUUAGGGUGUUUUUUUUUGUUUGUUUGUUUGUUUUUUUUUGUUUGUUUGUUUGUUUGUUUUUGAAACAGGUCCAUAUCUCAAAUGGCCUCAAAUUAUGUGGCUGAGGAUGACCUUGAGUUCUGAUCCUUCUGCCUUUAUCUUCCAAGUGUUGGGAUUACAGGCGUGUGCCACAACCCCAACUUGGACUGAAGUUUUAAAGAGGUCAAAGUUCACUAUUAUCAGAUUUCUGACUGGGAGUGUGAGUUUCCCACUGAAUACUGGGAAGAUGAUCACUUUGCUAUAUAAUUAUCAAACUGCAAAUGACCCAGAAAGCCAGAACCGUAACGCAGACUCACUGCAAGGUCUUCAGGAGUGUGGGGGAAUCUACUAGUCAGUCUGGAAAGGUAAUGCUGUAACCUGAAAGUUUUCAACACCGGCGAGGCCCUGGGGAUAGCUAUGAGAGGAGGGCAGGGUCUGGUGUCGUCACUCUGCCAAGAGAAAGAUGGGGGUGGCAGGAGUGAUGGUUCAUCGUAUGUAACCUCUCCACUGGGAUUUUCACAGUCUGCCUUGUAACCACCACUGCAUCACAAACAAGGCGCUUUCUGACACAUCUGUGUGGUGGUUAUUGCCAGGUCCAGCAGAAUGUUGCACCUGAGCAAUGCUGAUGGCAGUCUGAGUGGCAGCUUGAGUGGCAUGUGACAUCAGAAGGCAUGCCCUACAUGAGUGACUCAGCUAGCUCAACAGGCCGUGUUAUCGAAUUUUGUAGUCACUAGAAGACGUGUCAUUAACCUACUGGUCUGCAGUUUUUCUCAAAUAAAAAACUAAACUUUUAAGCCAUUGAAUCUAACCCAGAGAUGAGUAAAAAAAAACCUAACAGGUCUAGGUGAAAGUCCUUUCCUCACUACCCUGCUGCAGGCGAAGUAAGGAGGAGCUACCAUUACUUCUUAUAAAGUGGCCGUGCUGGUGGAACCGAGUCAGUCGUACUCUUUUUUUUUUUUUUUUUUUUUUUUUUUUUUUUUUUUUUGAUUCUUUUUUUCGGAGCUGGGGACCGAACCCAGGGCCUUGCGCUUCCUAGGCAAGCGCUCUACCACUGAGCUAAAUCCCCAACCCCCAGUCGUACUCUUGAACAUGACAUUUCCACUUGACAAUGAUGUGUUGGUGCUUUCUACCUUGUCUUUAAAUCCAGGUGGCACAUCCAAAAGUAAGGAUAUUAUAUCAGAGUCACAAGGGCUCCAUGAAACACUCCAGAGUAGUUUUCCAGAAGGGACAAGGAGUCUCUGAAACUUCCAAGUAAAGGAUGCCUCUUUUUGCCAGACCAGUGGGCUAGAAUCAUUAAAGACGUUGUACUGACUGGUUUUGUGUUGUCAACUUGACUCAAGGUAGAGUCAUCAGAGAGGAAGGAGCUUCGUUUGAGGAAAUGCCUUCAUGAGAUCCAGCUGUAAGGCAUUUCUCAAUUAGUGAACAAUGGGGGAGGGCCCAACCCAUUGUGGGUGGUGCCAUCCCUGGCCUGGUGAUCCUGGAUUCUAUAAGCAAGCAGGCUGAGCAAGCCGUGAGAAGCAAGCCAGUAAGCAGCACCCCUCCACAGCAUUUACAUGGCUCCUGCUUCUAGGUUCCAGUUCUUCUUGAGUUCCUGUCCUGGCUCCUUCUAAUGAUAGUCUAUGAUCCCCAACUUGCUUUAGGUCAUGGUGUUUUGUUGAAGCAAUAAGAAAAAACUCAAAAGAGUCAUCAAGUUGUUGGGACCCAAAGGUACUAACACUUCUUCUUCUACAUCUCCUCUUUCCAGUCCACCUCUACACAUACAAACAUUCGAAGUCUAGACAUAUCAAAACCAGCAACACAUAUAUAUGGUAUAGUAAUUUGAAUAGUUUUGGCCCCAUGGACUCCUGUAUUUGAACGCUUGGUCCACCGAUGGCACUGUUGGGAGGUGUGGCCUUGGAGGUGUCAUUGUGGGGGUGGGCUUUGAAGUCUCCUAUGCUCAAACUCUGCCCAGUGUGGAAUUCCAGUCUCCUCCUGGCUGCCUUUGGAUCAAAAGGUAGAACUCAGCUCCUUCUCCAGCACCAUGUCUGCCUGCGUGCCACUAUACUUACUGUCUUGAUAAUGGACUAAACCUCUGAAACUGUUAGCUGGUCCCAGUUAAAUGUUUCCUUUGAUUAGAGUUGUCUUGGUCACAGUGUCUCUUCACAGCAAUAAAACCCUAUGACACAUGGAAACUAAAAUCCUACACCCAAUAGGCCUGAAGAGCCCCACGCAACAAUGGCAUAUUGAUUCCCUUUCUUCACAGUAAAUGUCAAUUGGAUGCCAUCAGAUGAAUUCAGGGGCCUACCUCCCAAAGGGAAAGCUAAUGUCUUGAGUGACUAUAAUAAUAAAAUAAUAAUGAUGAUAAUAAUUAUUUUUAAAUCCCCUUCUUCAGAACACUGACCUCAGGUCUCAUUCUUAAUCACCUUUCUCAGAAAAGCUUGGAUCAAAGAAGCAAAUGGGAAGGAAGGGCAAAGGCUUGGAGAGAAAGAACAGCUCUUUGAGGGAAUCUGGGCUUUGCCUUCUUUCAGCUUCAAAUGGCCACCUACCUGAGUGAGCUUCCGGGGUCCACAGAGCUCCCAAAGGUCUGCACUGAACAACGUUCCUUGCCACUAACACUAUUGCUGCCUUGAGGAUUCCUCAGCUGGGCAGCCGCACUACCCUGAGUCCAGGUCUGUGAAGUCUGCUAGCACACUGUCCUACAAUCCGCCUUUCAUGUGCCGUUUCGGGAGCAACACUGUACCAUUUAGGCACCCUGUUUCCUUCCUACUUUUCACCAACACACACAGUCCUUAAUCAUUAACCAACCCACAGGAUAGUGGGGGGAUCUGUAUCUCCCUAACCCUGAUACUUGGACAGCAUUUACUUCAAGAUCUUAGAAAGUUGUCUCAUCUCCAAAUCUGCCUUGUGGCACCAUCACCUUCCUCCUCAAGGUGACCAUCUGUCAACGUCCCAUCCUUACUGCCCAAACUGAGGAGGGCUGAGAAACAGCUGAGAUUUUAUCCUAUUUGCAAGCUAAGGCAUUAUCCUGAUGCUGGCAGAAAAACAUGAGCUCCCAGUGUUGCAGACAAAGGACUUUGUUAUAGCGUUACCAAAGUAUUCAGAUGUUCUGGUUCUGGUUCCCACAACCCAGUUCCUACAGGGCCAUACAAAUAAACAGAUGGUAUCUUUACAAUGAGUUGCAUGCAGCUCAGGGCUCCUCUCCUGUCUUUCAUGAAGGCCUUUGUUCUAUAGGAGAUUACCUUUCAUCCUCCUAAGCUCUGAGCAAACCUGCCCUUUGCUCUGAUGGGAAACACUGGCUGUUUCUCCAUCUUCCCUAUUUAGCUCUAAAAAUGUUAUAGUCUCAGGGCAGUCAGUACCUCUCCCUGUGAGAUGUACAGAAAGACCAGCAGGCAUGGAGAACUCUCUAAGGAAUCUUUAAGAAAGUGGGAAUAACCUCCCCAUUUAUAAUUUACUGACAGACAGACAUGCCAGUCUAUCUCCCAGAACACUUCUCAAUGUCAGCACUCCUUUCUCCUCAUAACCCAACUCAAUUUCCUAUGAGGGCAAACGUAUCUUGUGUGAGGCCAGCUUUUAUGCUGGUCAUCAGCUACACAAUGACAAUCUGACAGCAAAAAAUGAGGAUAAUUACAGAUUUCUGACUGGUUGGUAAGGGAGGCAAUCCAGGUACCUGUCUAAAAAUGAAUGGUUCUCACCUCCUAUCUUUAACUUGUAGGGGGGUUGAGACACCUGCUUAUCAGCAGUUCUUAAUGGGCAAAAAAUGAGCAUUAACUGAACAAAUCCUACGCUAAAUGGUCUUAUUCAUUUUAUAGUCUGAACAUACCCAACUUCUAACUAUUUUAAACCAAAAUAUAUUACCCUUACCACCCUAACUGUGAUGAGAUUAACCUACUUUUGAUAAAUACUAAGUUUACAUAUUACCUGAAACUUUGAGACUGAAAAACACUUAAAAGAAUAUUGGCAAUAUUCAGGGCCCAAAAAACACCUUUAAAAAUUAACAAAACUUGAGGCUGGAGAUAUGGCUCAGAAGUUAAUAGCACUGCUCUUCCAGAGGACCUGGGUUCAAUUCCCAGCAACCACACAGCAAUUGUCUGUAACUCCAAGAUCUGACACCUUCACGCACAUACCUUCAGGCAAAACAAAGCACAUUAAAUAGAUUGAUAAAUAAAUAAAUAAAUAAAUAAAUAAAUAAAUAAAUAUUUAAUUACCAAAACUUGCCAAGCAUGGUGUGGCACACGCCUUUAAUCUUAGCACUUGAGAGGCAGAGGCAGGUGGAUCUCUGAGUUCAAGCCAGCCUGGUCUACAAAGAGAGUUCCAGGACAGCCAGGUCUGUUACAUGAGAAACCCUAUCUCAAAAAAACAGGAAAAAAAAAAAAAAAAAAAAAAGCACAACUUAUGCUAUAACUUUUAUGUUCAGAGACAUGUUAAAAUAUAGUUACUGCAUACCCAGUCCCCAGUAACCAACCACAAAUAACUACUUGAACAAUAUUUAACCAUAAGAGACUGCUACAUUUUUUCUUUGAAUUUAAUGAGUUUACAUCAAAAAAAAUUAAGUAGUCAUUUUACAUCUAAGGAAUAAAAACCAUUUUAAAAAAAUACAAAGAGUGAAAGGAUUUUUAAGCAAGUUUACAUUUCUUUUGGCUAUGGUUCUGAACAAUUCAUCUCAUGAUAUCUUAUCACAAUGUGCAAAUGCAUUUCACAGCACCUGUGACAAUCAUCAAGUUAACUCUUAAGCGUAUCCACUGUCAGUAUCUCCUCAGAGGAAACCGAUCUGCCUUCUAUGAAAAGCUCCAUGGUACAUCUCAGCAUCGCACAAGGCCACCAGUCACCCGCCC